RNAcentral lists this ribosomal RNA (588 nucleotides) under uncultured bacterium. Its description in RNAcentral is "bacterial SSU rRNA". It matches the Rfam family "Bacterial small subunit ribosomal RNA", at positions 338 to 916 of the family's 1533-position model. The record is from RNAcentral.
CCUACGGGAGGCAGCAGAGGAGGAUCAUUCGCAAUGGGCGCAAGCCUGACGGUGCGACGCCGCGUGAGGGAUGAAGGCCUUCGGGUCGUAAACCUCUGUCGGGAGUUAUGAAUGACGGGGGCGUUAAUACCGCCUCCGUGUGACAAAGGCUCCAAAGGAAGCCACGGCUAACUACGUGCCAGCAGCCGCGGUAAUACGUAGGUGGCAAGCGUUACUCGGAAUCACUGGGCAUAAAGGGCGUGUAGGCGGACAUGUAAGUCCGGUGUAAAAGCCCCCGGCUCAACCGGGGAAGGUCGCCGGAAACUGCACGUCUGGAGGAUGGGAGGGGAGAGUGGAACUCUUGGUGGAGCGGUGAAAUGCGUAGAUAUCAAGAGGAACGCCGGUGGCGAAAGCGGCUCUCUGGUCCAUUCCUGACGCUGAGGCGCGAAAGCUAGGGGAGCAAACGGGAUUAGAUACCCCGGUAGUCCUAGCCCUAAACGAUGGGUACUAAGUAGGAGCGGCUCCGAUGUCGUUUCUGCUGUAGCCAAUGUGCUAAGUACCCCGCCUGGGGAGUACGGUCGCAAGGCUGAAACUUAAAGGAAUUGACGG